Molecule: ribosomal RNA, 254 nt
Filed under: uncultured bacterium
Lineage: Bacteria
Description: partial 16S ribosomal RNA
Rfam family: Bacterial small subunit ribosomal RNA
Source: RNAcentral
UACGGAGGGAGCUAGCGUUGUUCGGAAUUACUGGGCGUAAAGCGCACGUAGGCGGCUUUGUAAGUUAGAGGUGAAAGCCUGGAGCUCAACUCCAGAAUUGCCUUUAAGACUGCAUCGCUUGAAUCCAGGAGAGGUGAGUGGAAUUCCGAGUGUAGAGGUGAAAUUCGUAGAUAUUCGGAAGAACACCAGUGGCGAAGGCGGCUCACUGGACUGGUAUUGACGCUGAGGUGCGAAAGCGUGGGGAGCAAACAGGG